RNAcentral lists this ribosomal RNA (464 nucleotides) under uncultured bacterium. Its description in RNAcentral is "partial 16S ribosomal RNA". It matches the Rfam family "Bacterial small subunit ribosomal RNA", at positions 338 to 795 of the family's 1533-position model. The record is from RNAcentral.
CCUACGGGUGGCAGCAGUAGGGAAUCUUCCACAAUGGACGAAAGUCUGAUGGAGCAACGCCGCGUGAGUGAAGAAGGGUUUCGGCUCGUAAAGCUCUGUUGGUAGUGAAGAAAGAUAGAGGUAGUAACUGGCCUUUAUUUGACGGUAAUUACUUAGAAAGUCACGGCUAACUACGUGCCAGCAGCCGCGGUAAUACGUAGGUGGCAAGCGUUGUCCGGAUUUAUUGGGCGUAAAGCGAGUGCAGGCGGUUCAAUAAGUCUGAUGUGAAAGCCUUCGGCUCAACCGGAGAAUUGCAUCAGAAACUGUUGAACUUGAGUGCAGAAGAGGAGAGUGGAACUCCAUGUGUAGCGGUGGAAUGCGUAGAUAUAUGGAAGAACACCAGUGGCGAAGGCGGCAUGCCGGCUUCCGACUGACGCUGAAGCACGAAAGCGUGGGGAUCGAACAGGAUUAGAUACCCCAGUAUC